AGGUCGGUGUAGCCUUGCGGUUCCUUCGAUUAACAACAAUUUGUUUAAUUGUUCUCCACCUCCAUGGUUCAAGUCCCGCGGGCGCUGCCUGGCCUUUUU
This is a vault RNA of Anolis carolinensis (green anole), 99 nucleotides long. Its record names the gene Vault. It matches the Rfam family "Vault RNA". From Rfam's summary of the family: This family of RNAs are found as part of the enigmatic vault ribonucleoprotein complex. NCBI's taxonomy places the organism in Eukaryota, Metazoa, Chordata, Lepidosauria, Squamata, Anolidae. The record is from Ensembl.